Molecule: ribosomal RNA, 253 nt
Filed under: uncultured bacterium
Lineage: Bacteria
Description: partial 16S ribosomal RNA
Rfam family: Bacterial small subunit ribosomal RNA
Source: RNAcentral
UACGAAGGGGGCUAGCGUUGUUCGGAAUUACUGGGCGUAAAGCGCGCGCAGGCGGUCUUCCAAGUCAGUGGUGAAAGCCUGGAGCUCAACUCCAGAACUGCCAUUGAAGCUGUUAGACUUGAGUACGAGAGAGGUGAGUGGAAUUCCCAGUGUAGAGGUGAAAUUCGUAGAUAUUGGGAAGAACACCGGUGGCGAAGGCGGCUCACUGGCUCGUAACUGACGCUCGAGGCGCGACAGCGUGGGAUCAAACAGG